RNAcentral lists this ribosomal RNA (781 nucleotides) under uncultured bacterium. Its description in RNAcentral is "bacterial SSU rRNA". It matches the Rfam family "Bacterial small subunit ribosomal RNA", at positions 65 to 818 of the family's 1533-position model. The record is from RNAcentral.
AACUUCUUUAUCACCGAGUGCUUGCACUCACCGGUAACGGUUUGAGUGGCGAACGGGUGAGUAACACGUGGGCAACCUGCCCAAAAGAGGGGGAUAACACUUGGAAACAGGUGCUAAUACCGCAUAACCAUAGUUACCGCAUGGUAGCUAUGUAAAAGGUGGCUAUGCUACCGCUUUUGGAUGGGCCCGCGGCGCAUUAGCUAGUUGGUGGGGUAAAGGCUUACCAAGGCAAUGAUGCGUAGCCGAACUGAGAGGUUGAUCGGCCACAUUGGGACUGAGACACGGCCCAAACUCCUACGGGAGGCAGCGGUAGGGAAUCUUCCACAAUGGGCGAAAGCCUGAUGGAGCAACGCCGCGUGGGUGAAGAAGGUCUUCGGAUCGUAAAACCCUGUUGUUAGAGAAGAAAGUGCGUGAGAGUAACUGUUCACGUUUCGACGGUAUCUAACCAGAAAGCCACGGCUAACUACGUGCCAGCAGCCGCGGUAAUACGUAGGUGGCAAGCGUUAUCCGGAUUUAUUGGGCGUAAAGGGAACGCAGGCGGUCUUUUAAGUCUGAUGUGAAAGCCUUCGGCUUAACCGGAGUAGUGCAUUGGAAACUGGGAGACUUGAGUGCAGAAGAGGAGAGUGGAACUCCAUGUGUAGCGGUGAAAUGCGUAGAUAUAUGGAAGAACACCAGUGGCGAAAGCGGCUCUCUGGUCUGUAACUGACGCUGAGGUUCGAAAGCGUGGGUAGCAAGCAGGAUUAGAUACCCUGGUAGUCCACGCCGUAAACGAUGAAUGCUA